RNAcentral lists this long non-coding RNA (482 nucleotides) under Cicer arietinum (chickpea). Its description in RNAcentral is "long non-coding RNA (CARI_LNC003261)". The record is from RNAcentral. Lineage: Eukaryota; Viridiplantae; Streptophyta; Magnoliopsida; Fabales; Fabaceae.
UAAUCUCUUCUUCUACUCAUUUCCUUCAUUUUCCAGCUAUAACAUUCUCUUAAAAAAGCUCCAACACACCAACAACUGAUUAUUGUUCAUCAUUUUUCCCUUUCCUUCUAAAUUUAUUUAAAGGCAACAACAUCUGAAGUCCUUUACCUCCAUUUUAACCCCUUACAUGUCAAUUUCCUCCUUUCAAGACCCAUUAAUCAAUCAAAAUAACACUAAAGAAAGAUAUGAAGCAAACUUGGGAAAUCUCUAAAUUUGAACCAGUGCAUAAAAGGCAAAGGCAGAAGAACUAAGAGUUGAGGUAGCAAGCAAAUUCCACAACCCAACUCGAAUUAAAUGAAUUUCUUCUCAGUAAAUAGUAGGUUUUUUUUGUAACUGAUUUCACAUUUUUGCAUGUGGAUUUUUGGGUUUGAUUCUGAUUUUACUUUAAUGAUUUGAAUUGGUUUAUGAGUUGAAAUGAUGGGAUUCUUAGAGAGAGGAAAAAC